AGCAGCCUGUAUAUUCCCCUGAUGCUCAUCUUGCCCUCAUCUUGGGGGGCAAAAUGGAGGUCAAGGGGUUUGUUGGGGGUAAGGAAGAGGUUCCAUGAGUGUAUCCCAUAGCUGCCCAGAGCAUCCCCAGAGCCAUCCUAGAGGAGCAGUUCCAGAGCAGCCCCAUCAUUGCCCAUAGCUCGUAGCCAGCAGCAGUUCCACCAGCAGCAGUGUGUUGGGUAAAGACAGCUCCUAAGUGUGGCUCUGCUGCAAGGCUGCCCCAAAGUGCUCCUGAAGCCCUCCCAUAGGCGUCUUUUAACUGUCCCACAAC
RNAcentral lists this long non-coding RNA (310 nucleotides) under Gallus gallus (chicken). RNAcentral describes it as "lncRNA (ENSGALG00010029075.1)". Lineage: Eukaryota; Metazoa; Chordata; Aves; Galliformes; Phasianidae. The record is from RNAcentral.